This 253-nucleotide ribosomal RNA is filed under the name uncultured bacterium. RNAcentral's name for it is "partial 16S ribosomal RNA". It matches the Rfam family "Bacterial small subunit ribosomal RNA", at positions 524 to 776 of the family's 1533-position model. The record is from RNAcentral.
UACGUAGGGACCGAGCGUUGUCCGGAAUCAUUGGGCGUAAAGAGCGUGUAGGCGGCUAUUUAAGUCCUGCGUGAAAUCCUGCGGCUCAACCGCAGACGGUCGUGGGAAACUGGAUGGCUAGAGUGCGGGAGAGGAGAGUGGAAUUCCCGGUGUAGCGGUGAAAUGCGCAGAUAUCGGGAAGAACACCCGUGGCGAAGGCGGCUCACUGGACUGGUAUUGACGCUGAGGUGCGAAAGCGUGGGGAGCAAACAGG